GGAUGAAGAACGCAGCGAAAUGCGAUAAGUAGUGUGAAUUGCAGAAUUCAGUGAAUCAUCGAAUCUUUGAACGCACAUUGCGCCCUUUGGUAUUCCUUAGGGCAUGCCUGUUCGAGCGUCAUUUAAACCUUCAAGCUCAGCUUGGUGUUGGGUGACUGUCCGCUUCACCGCGGACUCGCCUCAAAAUUAUUGGCGGCCGGUACAUUGGCUUCGAGCGCAGCAGAAACGCGAACUCGGGCCCGUCGUAUUGGCUCCCAGAAGCUAUCUUCACAAUUUUGACCUCGGAUCAGGUAGGGAUACCCGCUGAACUUAAGCAUAUCAAUAAGCGGAGGA
RNAcentral lists this unclassified non-coding RNA (333 nucleotides) under soil metagenome. RNAcentral's name for it is "partial contains 5.8S ribosomal RNA, internal transcribed spacer 2, and large subunit ribosomal RNA". The stretch from base 2 to 121 matches the Rfam family "5.8S ribosomal RNA", at positions 35 to 154 of the family's 154-position model. The record is from RNAcentral.